This 402-nucleotide transfer-messenger RNA is filed under the name human gut metagenome. It matches the Rfam family "transfer-messenger RNA". From Rfam's summary of the family: Bacterial tmRNA, also known as 10Sa RNA or SsrA, is named for its dual tRNA and mRNA-like properties. Its role is to liberate the mRNA from a stalled ribosome. The record is from RNAcentral.
GGGGAUGUUUUGGUUUUGACAUCAGAUUAAUUGGUAUGUAAGCAUGCAGAGCAUUGGCAGCCAAGCUCUUUAAUCUCCAACUGCACGCCUAUAACUGGCAACAAUUCUUAUGCACUUGCUGCGUAAUCAGCCAAGCUAUUACGCUUAAUCCGCCCCGCCAAGGUUGCCGGGUGGACAAGUAUCCCGCCAACUCUUUAAUCCUGCUAUGAGUUUGGCUUAUGGGGUAUCAUUCCAAGCGGGAUGCUGGUGUGGACUCCUUUAAAGCACCCUAAGAUUCAAAGGAUAAGGUUCAGGUGGCCUGUCUUCCGGCAGCCUGCUCCCGACAACUAAAGAAAGAAUAAGCAUGUAGAAAGCAUAUUGAUGGUUUGGUUGGACGGCGGUUCGAGUCCGCCCAUCUCCACA